Long non-coding RNA from Gadus macrocephalus (Pacific cod), 2981 nucleotides. RefSeq lists it as uncharacterized. The record is from RefSeq and is a predicted model, not a curated record. NCBI's taxonomy places the organism in Eukaryota, Metazoa, Chordata, Actinopteri, Gadiformes, Gadidae. The transcript has 2 exons.
CACAUCGCAUCACUCACACCUCUCCAUGCUACACACACGCACACACUAUUCAGGAGUUUAAAAACACGAUUAGCUCCAAUAGAGGGACUCGAAGGUCCACUGUUCUUGCCGUCAUUGAUCCAACCUGUGAUGUGUAAGAAACACAAAAAUAAUAGAUUUUAGCCCACAGUGGGGCGGGUCAGUGUAUGGAUUUUAUGCAUAUCAUGACAUGAGACCAGAUAUCUUUCUGUGUCACUAUGUUAAUAUUUGAGCCAUCCGGACAAUAUUAUCUCGAUAUCGAGCGUUUUAUCCAGUGGUAUGGCUAUUUGAUCUUGUCCAUAUGCGCCUAGGCCUCAGGCAGACUAACACCAUCGUUCUAAUACCCGUUCAUCAGGGCUGUUUGGAACGUGGCCCUCUGCUCAGUCCUGCUCAGGGCUCCUAUUGGCGCAGAGCUCUCGUUGUGUAAAGGUUCUAUCAGCGAUGUUGGCUGACGUCACUUCUGUCGGUAUCUGAAGCAAGAUCCCUAACAAACGGAGCCAGCUCGCCCCUCUCUUCCGCGUUUCGUACAUCCAGUAAAAACGAUCAUAAACGCCGCGCAAAACCCCACAACACCCACCCCUUGUCGGUGAUUGGAUGGAAUACUAUUUUGGUUUUGAGUGUUUGCUAGUACCGUUUGUUUUUGUGUGCGAUCUCGGAGCAAUAGGCUGCCUACAGAGACGUGUUUUUUGACGGCCUGCUUAUGGGGCGGGCAGCUAGCGGAUCGUGAGGAAAGAUCAGAUGAAUGUGAUCAUUUAUGUUUUCGGCCUAGCAUCAUUCACUGAUGCAACCUUUAAGCUGAAGUCACUGAGCAGUCGAAGCAGAACACAUCCUCUCUGGCCCCGAUGGUCUCUCGGUGUGCUUCCUGUUUUCAGAAAGUCAGCUGUGUUGAUAAGCAGUUGAAUUAUGAGGCGUGUCCUGUUGUUUCCGCGGGGACCAGGGGAAAGCAGCUGCAGGAUGAUUAGAUUUGUUUUCCGAUGAGUGCAAGGUGCCGCGAUGGGAGAGGUUAGUGAUGACUGAGAUGUGGCAUCUACCUAGGUGUAAUUUCAGGUAUUGGGCAGUGAUAAAGUAUGGUUUCAGACAGUAGGAUACAAACAGAAGCAAACAGGGUCGUGAUAGAGCUGCGAAAACAUCAGAAAUGAAGGACUUUCAGGUCUUUUGUUUUAGAUUUGUCUGGGGCACUUUGUAAGGAUAUAAAGGUUUUUGUUGUGUUGAUUUGAACAAUGACACCUGACUUUGCUUCCUAAGAAGCAGGUGCUGUUGAAGAUGGUACCAACACCCCCCUACUGGUGUGCUUAAGGCAAAGUUAUCCAUCUGGAUAUACUUGGCUUGCCGCUUAUUUAUUUCAUUUGUCGAUAUUGCAGCAAACUUGCUUCUAUUGUUCAGGUUUCUGCUGUGUGCUUCCAUUAAGAUAUGGGUUAGGGUUAGGAGCUCAACCUCUCGUUGGGCUCUGUGCGUCCGAACCUGAUACUGCUGCACACUGCCUCGUUCCAUCCCUCCCAGCUGUUCAUCCACAGCGGUGGAGGGAUUUCCCCUGCGAGGGAGGGCGAGGUCAGGGAGAGCGGGGACAUGUCUGGGGAUUGACCCACGCAUGCUGUCCAGUCCCUGAUUCACUGAUCGGUGCUCGGGAAGAGAGGGGGGUUGUUGAUACGUGACGUGUGAGAGUCCAAGGCUCCAGUCAAUGGGUCUUUGCUCUUCGCUCUCACCAUCGAUGCAUCUCUAUCUAAUUAUUUUGUCUCUAAUUUAAUCGAAGACUCUAAUGCUGAUUAAAACACGUGGCUUUAAAUGUUGUAGAGUGGGCAUCGUGCUGCACUCUGCAGGAGUGCAGCAGGAAGGUGUCGGAGGGAAGGUGUAGGGAGGUGAACUUGACCCCUGGAAGCAGGAAUCCGCCGUCCGUUCUCAGUGUCGUCAGCCUCUGGUCCCCAGCGAGAAUUCCCUGCAUGAUCCUCUCUCUGGGAGCGAGUGGGGAGGGUGUUGUGGUAAUUGUCCUGCUCAUCCAGCCCCAAUCAGGAUUAACUUGCUAAUCCUGCGCGGGGCUGCGGCUGGAGGCUUGCUGGGGGUUACAUCACGUCCGACCAGAGCGGCAAACGGUAACGCUCAAACAGCCACACAACCUGGCCUGCGGAGUGAGGCACUGGCGCAUGUGUGACCAGCGCUCCUCAAUGUUGAGCCAAAGUGUGUUUUAUUAACACACUGUAACUGUUGGCUCUUUAUUGGAUUCACAUUUUGACCUGAAACACGAUUAAUCAUGAAGACGACCACAUCUACAGCCUUCCUUUAUCAGGGUCCUCCCAGUCCGGGUAAUGGGCUGGGAUCUAAUGGUUUUCAUGGUCCUCCCAGUCCGGGUAAUGGGCUGGGAUCUAAUGGUUUCCAUGUGGUGACUCUGAGCCUCCCCAGUGAUGGAGACCUUUCUGGAUGGAGCUAAAUGCACCAGUGUUGUGUCAGUACCAGGGUGGUCCACUGAUUGGACACAGACAGACAGACCGAUACACGCUGGUCUUCCUGGCUCCCGAGAGGGCCGUGAGUCUCUGGUGGUGAGCGGGUUACGGGGCCAGUGGGAUCCUCAAGCUUUGGCUGAAUUACCGCUCGUAAUCAACUUGAGAGCCAAUAAACUCCAGACGCUGUUUUUACAGCUCCUGCUCCACGUGUCGUGCAUCUGUCGUGGGGACACGAUUGAAAAGCUCAACCAAGAUACUCAAGGAGCACACCUACAUGUACAUUUAAUAGCUGCUUCUAGUAAUACUAUUCUACUUCUACUACUGUUACUACUACUACUACUACUAUAUAACUACAACUGUCACUACUAUUUCUACUACUCGUCCCUGAUCUACUAUCUUCACUAACUUAAUCUUCAAGACCUUUGUUGUUUACCCGUCACACAGAGGGGAUCUCUGUGUACCUGAAUUGCCCCUCUAAACUCUAGUGUACUACAGAGGGAUGUCUACGUAGGGGAUGAGGGAACAACG